AGCCCCCUUCUUCUCUUUUCUCAAGCGAAUAAGGCAUGUGUGUCCCCAGAAUUCUAUCCCACAUGGCGAAGAACGGUUGGGAGAAGUUGUAUUUGCCACCGUAAAGCUGAUGGUGGAGAUCAUGGUAGGCGGUGUUGUUCUCAAAGAAGAUGUGGAAGGGAUUCCCAGGGAGCAUCAACCCGCAGUGGUCGUCCACUGAUUUCAUGGCGGCGAAGGAGGAGAAAAAGGCUGAGGUUGCAGGAGACAUACCGGAGAGGAAAAUAGCCAAUGACCCACCGAGGAUGUCAAAGAGAAACCCUUCGAUCGGAUGACUGUAGAUAGCACCGAAUGGGUAGGGAACAACCAGCCGAUGAUGCUUGGAGUGGAGGUG
This 370-nucleotide long non-coding RNA is filed under the name Theobroma cacao (cacao). RNAcentral's name for it is "long non-coding RNA (TCAC_LNC001472)". Lineage: Eukaryota; Viridiplantae; Streptophyta; Magnoliopsida; Malvales; Malvaceae. The record is from RNAcentral.